This 1935-nucleotide long non-coding RNA is filed under the name Theobroma cacao (cacao). RNAcentral's name for it is "long non-coding RNA (TCAC_LNC004905)". Lineage: Eukaryota; Viridiplantae; Streptophyta; Magnoliopsida; Malvales; Malvaceae. The record is from RNAcentral.
CAUUUGAAUAUAAUAAAAAUAUUCAAUAAAAUAAACUAUUUUCUUGUAAAAUAAUUUUCAUAAAACUAUCGGUACAUAAUUCUUAUAGUGUAAAAGUUAAUUAUAUUCAUAAAUAUUAUACAGCAAAUAACUAAAGCAUAAAAUUUCUUUUACAGUGACACGUGGGCCCACAUCUAUCCAAAAUGCAUCGAAAGCUGGAAACCUACAGCUUUUACCGAUUCGAGUCCAAAUGAAGAUCCUUGUCAAAGUCAGCUAACUAUGGAAUUCCCCGAGCUUGAAAUGUGAGGAAAUGAGGGUGGUGAGAUUAUAAAAUCCCAGUAAGUAAACAGAUACCAUCUAAACUAUCUAAAGUCGAGUAAAUGGAGACAAUUAAAAUAAGUCAUCAUACUGUAAUUUCAUUACCUUUCAACCAAAUAAAAUCAAUCCAUGAAAAUCGAGUAAUCAACUUGGCUUAUGAAUUUCUUAAACCUUUGGCUCGUGCCAAAACUCAUACUCGAUGAUACCUUGCCCAGGGCAUCCAACUGAGUCAGCCAAGGCUGUUAAAAUUUCGUAUACACUUAAAAUAUAUUUUUAGUUUGAGAAAAAUAUAGUCGUUCCUUGGUGUUGGCUGAGUUCCCCUUCACGUGGUGGUUUGGCGUGAAGUGAACCCUAAGCUUUACCCUAGGAGAUACCCUACGCGCCUCUCCGUUCGAGGUAAGAAUAUAAUGGAGUUUACCGUGCCCCUCUUAUAGGCUGGUCCACGAAACCCCCUUUGUAGUGAAUAAUUAAUAUAUAAUCCACCAAUCAAUAAAAUUCAUUCUAGCAUGACAUGCGAUUUAUUGCAACCUAGCCUCUCAAGACUGAAUACACAGUAUAAAUAAUUCUAACACCAAAAUCAGUUUAGCCAUUCAUGCUCAUAUAUUGUCAUAAGCUAUUCAAUUUAAAACCAUAAAUUUACAACACAAGCGGGCAGUCUCCAAUUACUCUAUUUUGAAAACCAGUAUUCGAUUUUUCAGAAAAUUUAUACAAUCAUUUUAUAAACUCACAAUAUUUCCUAAAACAUAGCAAUUUACCAUGCAAACCCAUUUUUCAUAAAAUCACACAAUUGUAUAAAACUACUCCAGAUAAUUAAGACGAUAAUAAGUUCACUCACUGUUCUAGAAGUCGAUGUACUCCUAAUCCCAAUCUCCAAGCACAAUCUCUGUGCUUUUACCUGUGUAAUUUGCUCACCACCUAUCCACAAUGUACAGUAUAUAAUUCAUCACAUCAAUGCUUGACCAUUAUAAAAAUCAAUUCAGGCUCGAUAUAGAUGCAUGAUAUGAUAUAAAACUUAUUCGACUACCGCUUAAAUGCGGUGCUGACCUAAUUCGGCCUAUUAUCUCCAAUUUAACUCCAAAUCAAUUCUUCUCACUUUCUACACUCCAAUUAUACUUAAAUUACCUUAGUGACUAUGAAUGAGAUUCAAUUUAUCAGUCCCAGUAGCAAAUUACGAAAAUACCCCUAGUGGGUAAAAAUUCAUAUUUUUGCUCCGAAAAUUCCCAUUAUUUUUCUAAGCUCAUAAUUCAUCAUUAUUCAUCAUAAUUCCGCAAAUAAACAUCAAGAUCAUCAGCCAAUAUUCCCCUAGAAAAUUCGGCCAAUAAUGGUAAUGGAGGAAAAUAAAUUCUUUUCAUGUUGUUUUCUUCCUAAAUAUGCUAAACUAACUAAAAACACUAACAUAACUUAAAAUCAAAUUAAUCUAACAACAAUUCCUCUUCCAUACCCAUUUUUCAGAAUUGAAUUCAUCAUAAUAACUCAAUAUUCAACCAUGGAAAUCAAGAACAAAAGAAUGGGUAAGCUAGGUAUCAAGGAGAACUAAAGAAAUUCUAACUUACCUAGUUUGUUUACUUGAUUUCUUCACUUUUUCUUUGAAUUUUCACCUAGGCUUUCUUGUUUUUCCCUUUGUUCUUCCUCUCUUUC